This 305-nucleotide ribosomal RNA is filed under the name uncultured bacterium. Its description in RNAcentral is "bacterial SSU rRNA". It matches the Rfam family "Bacterial small subunit ribosomal RNA", at positions 335 to 636 of the family's 1533-position model. The record is from RNAcentral.
UUCCCUACGGGAGGCAGCAGUGAGGAAUAUUGGUCAAUGGGCGGAAGCCUGAACCAGCCAAGUCGCGUGAGGGAAUAAGGCCCUACGGGUCGUAAACCUCUUUUGCCGGGGAGCAAGGGCGGGGACGUGUCCCGGCCCGGAGAGUACCCGGAGAAAAAGCAUCGGCUAACUCCGUGCCAGCAGCCGCGGUAAUGCGGAGGAUCCGAGCGUUAUCCGGAUUUAUUGGGUUUAAAGGGAGCGUAGAUGGGUUGUUAAGUCAGUUGUGAAAGUUUGCGGCUCAACCGUAAAAUUGCAAUUGAUACUGG